GGCCUCGUGGCGCAACUGAAUAGCGCAUCAGAUUUCGGCUCUGAGGGUUGGGGGUUUGAAUCCCUUCGAGGUCACUA
This 77-nucleotide transfer RNA is filed under the name Maribacter aquivivus. RNAcentral's name for it is "tRNA_Arg_TCG". It matches the Rfam family "tRNA". Rfam says of the family: Transfer RNA (tRNA) molecules are approximately 80 nucleotides in length. Their secondary structure includes four short double-helical elements and three loops (D, anti-codon, and T loops). RNAcentral also lists the same sequence under 2 other names. Lineage: Bacteria; Pseudomonadati; Bacteroidota; Flavobacteriia; Flavobacteriales; Flavobacteriaceae. The record is from RNAcentral.